Molecule: ribosomal RNA, 460 nt
Filed under: uncultured bacterium
Lineage: Bacteria
Description: SSU rRNA
Rfam family: Bacterial small subunit ribosomal RNA
Source: RNAcentral
AGGACUAACGCUGGCGGCGUGCCUAACACAUGCAAGUCGAACGAGGUAGCAAUACCUAGUGGCAGACGGGUGAGUAACGCGUGGUCAACCUACCUCUUAGUGGGGGAUAACUAGCCGAAAGGUUAGCUAAUACCGCAUACGAUCGUCGCGAGGCAUCUCGUGACGAUGAAAGGAGCAAUUCGCUAAGAGAGGGGACUGCGUCCCAUUAGUUAGUUGGUGGGGUAAUGGCCUACCAAGACUCCGAUGGGUAGCUGGCUUGAGAGAGCGACCAGCCACACUGGAACUGAGACACGGUCCAGACUCCUACGGGAGGCAGCAGUGAGGAAUUUUCCGCAAUGGGCGCAAGCCUGACGGAGCGACGCCGCGUGUGGGAGAGGCCUUCGGGUCGUAACCACUGUCGAAGGGGACGAUAUUGACGGUACCCUUGGAGGAGCCCGGCUAACUACGUGCCAGCAGCCGC